GAACUCACUUUGGCAGCACAUAUUCUGAAAUUGUAACAAUACAGAGAAGAAUAGUAUGGUUCCUGAACUAGGAUGACAUGCAAAUUUCUGUAGUGUUCCACUUGUUU
RNAcentral lists this small nuclear RNA (107 nucleotides) under Meriones unguiculatus (Mongolian gerbil). Lineage: Eukaryota; Metazoa; Chordata; Mammalia; Rodentia; Muridae. The record is from RNAcentral.